Molecule: ribosomal RNA, 332 nt
Filed under: uncultured bacterium
Lineage: Bacteria
Description: bacterial SSU rRNA
Rfam family: Bacterial small subunit ribosomal RNA
Source: RNAcentral
CGCGUAGGCGGUCGCGUGCGUCAGAGGUGAAAUCCCCCGGCUUAACCGGGGACCUGCCUCUGAUACGGCGCGGCUUGAGUCCGGGAGAGGGGAGCAGAAUUCCCAGUGUAGCGGUGAAAUGCGUAGAUAUUGGGAGGAAUACCGGUGGCGAAGGCGGCUCCCUGGACCGGUACUGACGCUGAGGCGCGAAAGCGUGGGUAGCAAACAGGAUUAGAUACCCUGGUAGUCCACGCCGUAAACGAUGGGUGCUUGGUGUCGGGGGUAUCGACCCCUCCGGUGCCGAAGCUAACGCAUUAAGCACCCCGCCUGGGGAGUACGGUCGCAAGGCUGAA